CACCGGCCAAUCUCUCCUACAAAGUUCCUGGAUUCUUAUAACCAAGUCCCUAUUCGAUUGUCCACGAGUCUUAUCCAAAGUUGCCGCAAUAGCUUGAGCACAAUCUAUUUCAAUAGUAACAAUAUCUCAUUUAGCAUUCCAAGCCAGAGUGAGGAUAUUUUAAAUCGCCUAAAGUUCUGCCUGCUCGACACUGCAUUUGCCAAUAUUUCUC
Molecule: long non-coding RNA, 211 nt
Filed under: Gossypium raimondii (Peruvian cotton)
Lineage: Eukaryota; Viridiplantae; Streptophyta; Magnoliopsida; Malvales; Malvaceae
Description: long non-coding RNA (GRAI_LNC010073)
Source: RNAcentral